GCGCCGGGGUCGCACGCGCACACCCGAGGCUAGUUCCCUCGCCGGCGACGACGAUGGAUUCACGGGCGCGGUAGACCCAUGGCCAACCCCGCCACGGGUUGGGCGCAAAGCAAACAGCGUCGGCGCUGCCAUGAUGAAGCGCGCACAGAUCCCUCCACAGCGCGUCGUCGUCACACAGGGUGGACAAACGCCGACACGUCUGCGCGAGGCGGACGACGACGCCCGCGCCGCCGUAUGCGAGCACCGUCAGCAGGACCUCGUCGGGCAGGUCCACAAGUCCCGCGGGCAUAACACGACAAAAGGAACAACAACAGAAAAAAAGAGUGCGUCUGUGGUUUCCCCUCUCGGGUGUGUCUCUGUUUUGCCAGCGGCGCGCAGGAUGGCGCCCGCUCUGCGUCCUCCCUUUUGUGUGCUUUUUUUCCUCUCGAUGUUCGCCGUUUUUCUUUUUUUUUUUAAGGCGCGCGAUGCCCGGCGGGUGGCGCCUGCCUUGGCGCGUCCCACGUUUUUCUUUCGCAUGCCUUUUUCUUUGGUGGAAAGAAACAAAAGAGCAAGAGCCAACAGAGAAAGCAUCUGACGCCAUUUUUUUCCUUUCCUUUACGAGCCUAAUCUUGGGGUGUGGCCACGGCGCCCACAUGGCCGUGCACGACGGUCUCGGCGACGAUCGCAUCCUGCUCCCACCGGCCGGUCUCGGUCCUGCCGUCAGGCCACGUCAGCGUGCCCUGGCCAUGGCGCAUGUCACGUCGGAAUUGGCCGUGGUAAUGGCCUCCGUCAACGUACCGCGCGGUGCCCAUGCCGUGCAUCUUGCCCCGGCGCGCCUCGCCCUCGUACACGACGCCCCACUCGUCGGUAAACCGCACGGCGCCGUGCAUCUUAUCGCGACGAAAUUCCCCCCGGCAUAUCUCUUGAUAGUCGCGGUGCACGAUAGAGUGGCCAUGCAGCCGCCCGUUUCUCCAGUAGCCCUGGCGUGUAAACAGACCCCAGUCGGUGCACUCGGUGAUGCGACCGUAACCGUGGGGCAGGCCGUUUGCCCAUUCGCCAGCAUAAGUGCCGGCUUCGUGGCGAUCGUACCACGACGAACCCAACGCGAGAGCCGGCGUCACACAAGAGUGGAAGAUGUGGGCGCGGUAGAGCCAACGCCAGUUCCAAUGCGGAUGCGGCACAAAGUGUUCCAUGUCGGGGUCGUCUUUUUGGACGCACAGGCCCUUCCAAAGGUUGUCGUCGCGGGCGAGGCCGGCCAGGAGGCGACAGGUGCACGCAAGGCGCCCCACGACGCCGACGCUGCCAUGCGCCAUGAUCAUCAGGAGCAGUUCGUCGGGCAGGCGCAAGAGACCUGUACGCUCGUACUCAUGCGUCGGCUGGACGGGCACAUCCAUCCGAGACGACGCCCCGCAGGAACUGCCGACGGCGUCGCGACGGCGGCGCUUGUCGCGAGUUCUCUUUCUUGGUCUGGCGCGGCGCCGUUGUUCUUGCAUUUUCUCUCUCUUCUCCUCUCUCUCUCUCUCUCUCUCUCUC
This 1512-nucleotide long non-coding RNA is filed under the name Pandoravirus neocaledonia. RNAcentral's name for it is "hypothetical ncRNA". The record is from RNAcentral.